This 550-nucleotide ribosomal RNA is filed under the name uncultured bacterium. RNAcentral's name for it is "partial 16S ribosomal RNA". It matches the Rfam family "Bacterial small subunit ribosomal RNA", at positions 355 to 895 of the family's 1533-position model. The record is from RNAcentral.
UGGGGAAUAUUGCACAAUGGGCGCAAGCCUGAUGCAGCCAUGCCGCGUGUGUGAAGAAGGCCUUCGGGUUGUAAAGCACUUUCAGCGAGGAGGAAGGUGGUGAGCUUAAUACGCUCAUCAAUUGACGUUACUCGCAGAAGAAGCACCGGCUAACUCCGUGCCAGCAGCCGCGGUAAUACGGAGGGUGCAAGCGUUAAUCGGAAUUACUGGGCGUAAAGCGCACGCAGGCGGUUUGUUAAGUCAGAUGUGAAAUCCCCGGGCUCAACCUGGGAACUGCAUUUGAAACUGGCAAGCUAGAGUCUCGUAGAGGGGGGUAGAAUUCCAGGUGUAGCGGUGAAAUGCGUAGAGAUCUGGAGGAAUACCGGUGGCGAAGGCGGCCCCCUGGACGAAGACUGACGCUCAGGUGCGAAAGCGUGGGGAGCAAAACAGGAUUAGAUACCCUGGUAGUCCACGCUGUAAACGAUGUCGAUUUUGGAGGUUGUGCCCUUGAGGCGUGGCUUCCGGAGCUAACGCGUUAAAUCGACCGCCUGGGGAGUACGGCCGCAGGGUU